This 606-nucleotide long non-coding RNA is filed under the name Bemisia tabaci. RNAcentral's name for it is "lncRNA ENSSSA2NGG012239". Lineage: Eukaryota; Metazoa; Arthropoda; Insecta; Hemiptera; Aleyrodidae. The record is from RNAcentral.
GCACACGGUCACAGUGCGCGUUAUCAAAUGAUAAAUUAAAUUGUAAGUUAACCUCAAAUUUUAAUGGUCAGCUGGUUUUAAGCCAGACACUAGGAAUUUAUGGAAUGAACCAUUUUUAACCAAUCACAGUGUCUUAAAUGGUUUGCCAAUAAAAUUAUAGAAUUCCUAUGAUUUAGAAUUAGGAAUAAAUGAAAUAAAGGGAACAGGAAAGUAAAUAAAAACUUAACCUCGAAAUAUUUCAUGGAAAAAUAUGUUGGUGUUUCUCGCUCUCAUUUACAUGUCAAAAAUUUUCAGUAGCCGGCAAUUGUGAUUUGUAUUGAAUAUUUCGUAAUUACUGGCUCCCAGAUACUUUGAUUGCAUUGUUUUGGCUUUCCAUCAGGUACUGCUUAGUUACAAAGCUGCUGCCCUAUCGUAAUCGGAGGACUAAGCAACAAGGACGGAACUGAGGAUAUACCUGCAUCAGUCAAAUCAGAAUUUGAUCAACUAUGUGAACUCAUCAUCAGCUGCUACUUUUUUAACUGUUCAUACUUUAAGGUAUCCUACAGUCAUAUACAUUCAAAUCAUUGAGCUCUAAUACCUGCAGAGGUAAGCGUGUCACUCUCAUCA